Molecule: ribosomal RNA, 497 nt
Filed under: uncultured bacterium
Lineage: Bacteria
Description: partial 16S ribosomal RNA
Rfam family: Bacterial small subunit ribosomal RNA
Source: RNAcentral
GACGAACGCUGGCGGCGUGCCUAAUACAUGCAAGUAGAACGCUGAAGAGAGGAGCUUACUCUUCUUGGAUGAGUUGCGAACGGGUGAGUAACGCGUAGGUAACCUGCCUUGUAGCGGGGGAUAACUAUUGGAAACGAUAGCUAAUACCGCAUAACAAUGGAUGACACAUGUCAUUUAUUUGAAAGGGGCAAUUGCUCCACUACAAGAUGGACCUGCGUUGUAUUAGCUAGUAGGUGAGGUAAUGGCUCACCUAGGCCACGAUACAUAGCCGACCUGAGAGGGUGAUCGGCCACACUGGGACUGAGACACGGCCCAGACUCCUACGGGAGGCAGCAGUAGGGAAUCUUCGGCAAUGGGGGCAACCCUGACCGAGCAACGCCGCGUGAGUGAAGAAGGUUUUCGGAUCGUAAAGCUCUGUUGUAAGUCAAGAACGGGUGUGAGAGUGGAAAGUUCACACUGUGACGGUAGCUUACCAGAAAGGGACGGCUAACUACGUG